CAUGGCUCAGGACGAACGCUGGCGGCGCGCCUAACACAUGCAAGUCGAACGGAGAAAGAUACAGCUUGCUGGAUUUUUCUUAGUGGCGGACGGGUGAGUAACACGUGAGCAACCUGCCCUUCAGAGCGGGAUAACGUUUGGAAACGAACGCUAAUACCGCAUGACAUCCCGGGAUGGCAUCGUUCUGGGAUCAAAGAUUUAUCGCUGAAGGAUGGGCUCGCGUCCGAUUAGGUAGUUGGUGAGAUAACAGCCCACCAAGCCGACGAUCGGUAGCCGGACUGAGAGGUUGAUCGGCCACAUUGGGACUGAGACACGGCCCAGACUCCUACGGGAGGCAGCAGUGGGGGAUAUUGCACAAUGGGGGAAACCCUGAUGCAGCGACGCCGCGUGAGGGAAGACGGUUUUCGGAUUGUAAACCUCUGUCUUUGGGGACGAAUAGAUGACGGUACCCAAGGAGGAAGCCACGGCUAACUACGUGCCAGCAGCCGCGGUAAUACGUAGGUGGCAAGCGUUGUCCGGAAUUACUGGGUGUAAAGGGAGCGUAGGCGGGUCUACAAGUUGAUUGUAUAAACGAUCGGCUCAACUGGUCGUGGCGAUCAAAACUGUAGAUCUUGAGUGGAGUAGAGGCAGGCGGAAUUCCUAGUGUAGCGGUGAAAUGCGUAGAUAUUAGGAGGAACACCAGUGGCGAAGGCGGCCUGCUGGGCUCUAACUGACGCUGAGGCUCGAAAGCGUGGGUAGCAAACAGGAUUAGAUACCCUGGUAGUCCACGCCGUAAACGAUGAUUACUAGGUGUGGGUGGACUGACCCCAUCCGUGCCGGAGUUAACACAAUAAGUAAUCCACCUGGGGAGUACGACCGCAAGGUUGAAACUCAAAGGAAUUGACGGGGGCCCGCACAAGCAGUGGAGUAUGUGGUUUAAUUCGACGCAACGCGAAGAACCUUACCAGGUCUUGACAUCGAGUGACGAGUGUAGAGAUACGCUUUUCCUUCGGGACACGAAGACAGGUGGUGCAUGGUUGUCGUCAGCUCGUGUCGUGAGAUGUUGGGUUAAGUCCCGCAACGAGCGCAACCCUUAUCCUUAGUUGCUACGCAAGAGCACUCUAGGGAGACUGCCGUGGAUAACACGGAGGAAGGUGGGGAUGACGUCAAAUCAUCAUGCCCUUUAUGACCUGGGCUACACACGUACUACAAUGGCGCUUAACAGAGAGCAGCGACACCGCGAGGUGAAGCAAACCCCUAAAAAGCGUCCCAGUUCGGAUCGUAGGCUGCAACUCGCCUACGUGAAGUCGGAAUUGCUAGUAAUCGCGGAUCAGCAUGCCGCGGUGAAUACGUUCCCGGGCCUUGUACACACCGCCCGUCACACCAUGAGAGCCGGUAACACCCGAAGUCAGUAGCCUAACCGCAAGGAGGGCGCUGCCGAAGGUGGAUUGGUAAUUGGGG
This 1440-nucleotide ribosomal RNA is filed under the name uncultured bacterium. RNAcentral describes it as "bacterial SSU rRNA". It matches the Rfam family "Bacterial small subunit ribosomal RNA". The record is from RNAcentral.